UUAAUUUGAUGACAUCAGUACUAGUAAAGCACCUUGAACACAAGGCCAUACUGGAACAACCUAGAUGCAACUCAGCAUUGUGGAAGUGAUAGCUGCUCUUGCAGAACAAUCAAGAGCUCAGGCUUCAGCAGCAACCAUGGUUGCUAGUAUAAAGUGAUCUUGUGAGGCAUAUGAAAAAGACACUGCAUUUAGCUCUCGGCAGCAAAGAUUUGGAGGCGGUAAAGUGGAAUGACAAACUCCGCAAGGCUUUUGAUGAAUGCAUAAUCCAGCUGUCAAAGAAGGUCAAUUUCCCUCCAAUUGAAACUUUACCAGUAAUUUGUACUUGCUGCUCUUUGCCUUUUCUUCCCUUGCUAAUUUGAUGCCAGUAUUAUGCUUCUUACUUCUUAGCUUGGUUUGCAUAGUACUAUAUGAGAUCAUAACUUAGUUGGUGUUGUUGAUCAAGUAGGUGAUGCUGGACCAGUUCUUGACAUGAUGUCUGUGAUGCUCGAGUACAUAUCAUGUACUCCUCUUGUUGCUAUAGCAACUACCUCAGCUGUUUAUCACACAGCUCUUGCUUCAAUACCGAAUUUGUCAUAUCAGAACAAGGUAUUUCCAGAAGCACUUUUUCAUCAAUUGCUGUUAGCGAUGGUUCACCCUGAUCAUGAAACACGUGUUGGUGCACACCACCAGAGAACACUCUCGAGGGCUGUAUCUGUCUUCUCAUCUUCAGCUGCUUUGUUUGAUAAGCUGAGAAGGAAUAAAAGCUCCUUUAGAGAAUAUUUACAUGAUGGAAGCAUGAAUAGAAUUUUGCAUUGAUGAUGAAACUGCUAAUGCCAAUGACUUGCGAGGCUUGCAAAGCUUGAGACAAAGCCUCAGAUUUUCUUCAGUGCCUCGGAAAUAAACGAAACGUCACUACAUCAAUUUUUGAGGCUCUUGCUCCCAGUUUUCAGAUUGGAUUUUCUUUAAUGAGCCAUUCACUAGGAGGAACAGGUGAAGCAAUUUAUCAUUUGCCUAGAGUUAACCAAAGUGCAUGUUAAUUUGGUUUCUGAUAAGUACCUAUUAUCAACAUAUUCCUUUUUUGGGGCAUCCUCAUAACAAUUUUUUUAACCAGUAGUAUCAAUAUAUUCCUUUUUUGAGGGCAUCCUCGUACCAUUUUUUAACACUACAGAACAUAGCAGCCAUGUAUGAUGCAGGUUAUUGUCACAAGGAUAGAAAAAUUGGUCAGUAACUAACACAAUAUUACAUCAUCAGUUGUGAUUGAAUUAUAUUCCCUCCAUUCCAAAUUAUAAGUUAUUCCAAGAAUCUUAGAGAGUCAGCAUUUAAGUUUAACCAAAAUUAUAAAAAGAUACUAAGAUUUAUAACAUAA
This is a long non-coding RNA of Sorghum bicolor (sorghum), 1345 nucleotides long. RefSeq lists it as uncharacterized. The record is from RefSeq and is a predicted model, not a curated record. NCBI's taxonomy places the organism in Eukaryota, Viridiplantae, Streptophyta, Magnoliopsida, Poales, Poaceae. The transcript has 3 exons.